Molecule: ribosomal RNA, 406 nt
Filed under: uncultured Candidatus Saccharibacteria bacterium
Lineage: Bacteria; Candidatus Saccharimonadota
Description: bacterial SSU rRNA
Rfam family: Bacterial small subunit ribosomal RNA
Source: RNAcentral
GGGGAAUAUUGGGCAAUGGGGGAAACCCUGACCCAGCGACGUCGCGUGAGGGAAGAAGGUCUUCGGAUUGUAAACCUUUGUCAACAGGGAAGAAGCAAGUGACGGUAACUCAUGAAUAAGCACCGGCUAACUACGUGCCAGCAGCCGCGGUCAUACGUAGGGUGCAAGCAUUAUCCGGAGUGACUGGGCGUAAAGAGUUGCGUAGGCGGUUAGUAAAGCGAAUAGUGAAACCUGGUGGCUCAACCAUACAGACUAUUAUUCGAACUCACUAACUCGAGAAUGGUAGAGGUAACUGGAAUUUCUAGUGUAGGAGUGAAAUCCGUAGAUAUUAGAAGGAACACCAAUGGCGUAGGCAGGUUACUGGACCAUUUCUGACGCUAAGGCACGAAAGCGUGGGGAGCGAACA